This 403-nucleotide ribosomal RNA is filed under the name uncultured bacterium. RNAcentral's name for it is "partial 16S ribosomal RNA". It matches the Rfam family "Bacterial small subunit ribosomal RNA", at positions 30 to 526 of the family's 1533-position model. The record is from RNAcentral.
AUUGAACGCUGGCGGCAGGCCUAACACAUGCAAGUCGAGCGAGCGGCGGACGGGUGAGUACUGUAUGGGGACUGCCCGAUAGAGGGGGAUAACUACUGGAAACGGUAGCUAAUACCGCAUACUAUCGGAUGACCCAUAUGGGAUUAGCUAGUAGGUUAGGUAAUGGCUCACCUAGGCGACGAUCCCUAGCUGGUCUGAGAGGAUGAUCAGCCACACUGGGACUGAGACACGGCCCAGACUCCUACGGAGGCAGCAGUGGGGAAUAUUGCACAAUGGGCGCAAGCCGGAUGCAGCCAUGCCGCGUGUAUGAAGAAGGCCCUAGGGUUGUAAAGUACUUUUGGCAGAGAAGCGGUAUCUGCAGAAUAAGCACCGGCUAACUACGUGCCAGCAGCCGCGGUAAUAC